CCACAGACCCUUGCUUUUAAUACUCUCCUCCAAGUCAUUGUUUGCACCUUGCCUGAAGGUUACUGGCUAGACAUAUGUCUUAACUGCAUGCUUACAGAACAAAUUUUUCCCCUCCUACUGUGCAGGAUGGCCAAGAGCAGAGCUCUGAAGCAGGUAGCUGGGUAGAACAUAUCAUUGUCUACAAUUUUGGGGAUCAGCUUUCUUGAGCGCAAUGCUGUGCUUACCUUGCAGGGGAUGACAGGAACUGGUAUUCCUGGCACUGUUGGCCCAAAGGGAGAAGAAGGAAAGCAGGGGGUGAUGGGACCUCCAGGAGCAGCAGGACCUAAGGGUGACAAAGGGCAAGGUGGUGUUAAAGGGGAGAAGGUGAGACUGGCCAGCACUGGAGCACAGAGUAGGAUGGGAAGAAGUGCUGGCUCUGGUUUUGGGCUCAGGACACAGCAGUUGAGGUAUCUGGUUGGAGAUGCAGAGGGAGGGAAUUUGAGGCCCCACCAAAGGCUUCUCCCAGUCUGACCAGACAUAACUGGGCCACGUAGCUCCACGCCACAUAACUGCAAGGUUCAGGAGCUUGCUGCUGCUGAAGGAUCAACCAUGCAUGGGGAGACCUUGCAGCAAUGGUAAAUCCCCAGGAGAGUCUGUGGCUAGCGAGCACUGACAAACAAACCUUGAAUACCCUUUGCCACUCCGUACUGAGUAUUCACAGGUUUGCUUUUAUUGAGCUAUAUUUCAGGUUUGCUGUUUUUACAGCUCCCCCAGCUGCACUUGUUCUGUACAUGCAUCUGAUUAUAGCUUCAAAGAUCAAAA
This 801-nucleotide long non-coding RNA is filed under the name Athene cunicularia (burrowing owl). Its description in RNAcentral is "lncRNA (ENSACUG00000003526.1)". The record is from RNAcentral. Lineage: Eukaryota; Metazoa; Chordata; Aves; Strigiformes; Strigidae.